Molecule: transfer-messenger RNA, 403 nt
Filed under: Prevotellaceae bacterium
Lineage: Bacteria; Pseudomonadati; Bacteroidota; Bacteroidia; Bacteroidales; Prevotellaceae
Rfam family: transfer-messenger RNA
About the family: Bacterial tmRNA, also known as 10Sa RNA or SsrA, is named for its dual tRNA and mRNA-like properties. Its role is to liberate the mRNA from a stalled ribosome.
Source: RNAcentral
GGGGAUGCUUUGGUUUUGACAGCAAGGGAAAUUAGAAUGUAAGCAUGUCGAGCGUUGAGGUAGUGGCUCGUAAAUCCCAAAUCUCAAGCCAUAAUAGGCAACAAUAAUUACGCUCUCGCAGCUUAAUACGCUAAGCGUAUCGGCUUAAUCCGGUAGCCCAAGGCGGCUACAGGACGAGAAUCUCACGGAAAACGUGCCUUUCAGUUUUUCGAUUUUGAGGUUUCAUAUCAAGAAAGGAUUGUAUGUGCGACACCUUUAAGCAUGUAUGAAAAUUUAAAGGUUAAGGAUAAAAACGAUAGCUUUUUGUCAAGUUUUAUCCCUACAAUUUAAUAAAAAGCUACGCAUGUAGAAAACAUUCGGAUUACUUGUUUGGACGCGGGUUCGACUCCCGCCAUCUCCACCA